GUCAGCCUGGCCUAGUGGCUUGAGCAUUGGACUAUGACUCUGGAGACCAGGGUUCGAAUCCUCAGUCUGCCA
Phrynosoma platyrhinos (Desert horned lizard) is the source of this 72-nucleotide non-coding RNA. The record is from the annotation of a GenBank genome assembly. NCBI's taxonomy places the organism in Eukaryota, Metazoa, Chordata, Lepidosauria, Squamata, Phrynosomatidae.